AGUGAACGCUGGCGGCAUGCCUAACACAUGCAAGUCGAACGGCAGCACAGCAGUAGCAAUACUGUGGGUGGCGAGUGGCGGACGGGUGAGGAACACAUCGGAAUUUGCCCAGUCGUGGGGGAUAACGUAGGGAAACUUACGCUAAUACCGCAUACGACCUAACGGUGAAAGCGGGGGAUCGCAAGACCUCGCGCGGAUGGAUAAGCCGAUGUCGGAUUAGCUAGUUGGCGGGGUAAAGGCCCACCAAGGCGACGAUCCGUAGCUGGUCUGAGAGGAUGAUCAGCCACACUGGGACUGAGACACGGCCCAGACUCCUACGGGAGGCAGCAGUGGGGAAUAUUGGACAAUGGGGGCAACCCUGAUCCAGCAAUGCCGCGUGUGUGAAGAAGGCCUUCGGGUGUAAAGCACUUUUAUCGGGAACGAAACAUUGUCGGUGAAUAUCCGGCAAGACUGACGGUACCCGAAGGAAUAAGCACCGGCUAACUUCGUGCCAGGAGACCGG
RNAcentral lists this ribosomal RNA (502 nucleotides) under uncultured bacterium. RNAcentral describes it as "bacterial SSU rRNA". It matches the Rfam family "Bacterial small subunit ribosomal RNA", at positions 29 to 520 of the family's 1533-position model. The record is from RNAcentral.